RNAcentral lists this ribosomal RNA (253 nucleotides) under [Clostridium] leptum DSM 753. Its description in RNAcentral is "partial 16S ribosomal RNA". It matches the Rfam family "Bacterial small subunit ribosomal RNA", at positions 524 to 776 of the family's 1533-position model. Lineage: Bacteria; Bacillati; Bacillota; Clostridia; Eubacteriales; Oscillospiraceae. The record is from RNAcentral.
UACGUAGGGAGCGAGCGUUGUCCGGAUUUACUGGGUGUAAAGGGUGCGUAGGCGGCGAGGCAAGUCAGGCGUGAAAUCUAUGGGCUUAACCCAUAAACUGCGCUUGAAACUGUUUUGCUUGAGUGAAGUAGAGGUAGGCGGAAUUCCCGGUGUAGCGGUGAAAUGCGUAGAGAUCGGGAGGAACACCAGUGGCGAAGGCGGCCUACUGGGCUUUAACUGACGCUGAAGCACGAAAGCAUGGGUAGCAAACAGG